CGGUAGAGAGAAGCUUGCUUCUCUUGAGAGCGGCGGACGGGUGAGUAAAGCCUAGGAAUCUGCCUGGUAGUGGGGGAUAACGUUCGGAAACGGACGCUAAUACCGCAUACGUCCUACGGGAGAAAGCAGGGGACCUUCGGGCCUUGCGCUAUCAGAUGAGCCUAGGUCGGAUUAGCUAGUUGGUGAGGUAACGGCUCACCAAGGCGACGAUCCGUAACUGGUCUGAGAGGAUGAUCAGUCACACUGGAACUGAGACACGGUCCAGACUCCUACGGGAGGCAGCAGUGGGGAAUAUUGGACAAUGGGCGAAAGCCUGAUCCAGCCAUGCCGCGUGUGUGAAGAAGGUCUUCGGAUUGUAAAGCACU
This 365-nucleotide ribosomal RNA is filed under the name uncultured Pseudomonas sp. RNAcentral describes it as "bacterial SSU rRNA". It matches the Rfam family "Bacterial small subunit ribosomal RNA", at positions 67 to 434 of the family's 1533-position model. Lineage: Bacteria; Pseudomonadati; Pseudomonadota; Gammaproteobacteria; Pseudomonadales; Pseudomonadaceae. The record is from RNAcentral.